UUUGGUUAGUCAGAUGCACCCUUUCUCCCAUUGGUAAAAAUAUAAAUAUGAUACUCUGGAUAACCUCCCGGGUGAAAUGCUCACCGAUAUCCGUGCGCUUGUGGAUCAAUUCCUUAUUGCGUUACCAAAUAUCAACAAGCAUUUCUGGCGCCGUUGCUGGGGAGAAAGACGGUUUGCUGAGAUAACUUUAAAUCUUGCUAUUAUCUUGUAUUAUACUUUUAUUCUUUUAUCUUUUUAUUUUUUCCAUCUUUAUGGAUAACUCAAAUUCCACACCUAUUAUUGAAUUUUUUGCACCUUCGGAGACCAGCCAUAGACCAUGGGAGUUAACAAGUUCUGCUCCUAAUUAUGAUCUGUGUCCGGAGUUGAUUGCAAUAGGUCAAAACCAACCCUUUUCUAUAGCUGAGGUCCUAUCUUUUAAUCAAAAAGAUAAUGAACUUUUAGCUACACCUAGGGAAUCUGUUAAUCUUUCUAUAAAUUUUGGUUUAAACCUAGCCCUACAAGACCAUGUUUUUUCUCGAUAUUUUCACAUUGGUCUUAAUCAUAUACCCUUUGGUAGAGUUUUUCUUUCUUUAUCUGUUAGUAAAGCAAGGU
Molecule: long non-coding RNA, 591 nt
Filed under: Sorghum bicolor (sorghum)
Lineage: Eukaryota; Viridiplantae; Streptophyta; Magnoliopsida; Poales; Poaceae
Description: long non-coding RNA (SBIC_LNC014315)
Source: RNAcentral